This 475-nucleotide long non-coding RNA is filed under the name Homo sapiens (human). Its description in RNAcentral is "non-protein coding lnc-TGFBR2-3:3". The record is from RNAcentral. Lineage: Eukaryota; Metazoa; Chordata; Mammalia; Primates; Hominidae.
CCUCAGAACCAGAAGAACUGUGUGGAGUGGCAGCAACUGGAGGAAGCAGAAUGUCCCCGAGCAAGGAUUGUCAAGAGAAAAAAGUUACAUGUAUAAAAUCUACAGUAGAAUUGGAAGAUGGAUCUAAUGAGAAUAACACUAAGGAAACACCAUCCUUCAAAAACUAAAAGCUCCUUGAUGAGGACAAGAAAAUGAAGUGUCCCAGAAGAGGAAAUGCAGUAAGUGUUGGGGAUAAAAAGAAGGUUAGAAAGCGAACAAUUUCAGAAGGGAAGAAAUGACCUCUAAAAGGGAAGCUGGGAUGAUAGCAAAGGCAAUGUCAACGUCCUCACAAUUUCACUUAGAUUUUCCUGGCUACUCUGCAGAAGGCAUGAUAAGAUAAAUGCUUAUUGAUUUCAAGAUCAAGGCAACAGGAUCCUUUCUGUUUAAUUAUUUCUUUGUAAGUUAAAAACUAAAUGCUUUGGCAAGUGCUGUAAAU